UGGUCCUCAAUGGUCUUCAAUUUCGUACUUUAUUUGGCCUUUUUAAUUUUUUUCAUUCGAGAUUCACUGAUGAGUUUUUGUAGACGAAACUGCGCCUGGCACAGAUACAAAAUUUCAAUACAAGUAUCCCAGAUGAGUUCAUUUACAACAUGAGUAACAAUUGAUGACACGAAUGUGACCUACAGAAUUAGACUAUUUAACGGGUUUAAGAGCAGUACGACGGGUGCCACAUGUGGAUCAGGAUCUGCCUACCCUUCCGGAGCACCUGAGAUUACUCCAGUUUUUGGUGGGGUUCGUGUUGAUUAGUUUAUAGUUUUCUAUUUUGUGUUUUGUGUACUAUUGUGUAUUUCUCUUUUUUUUGUCAGGGCGUUGUGUUUUUGAUCUACGAAUGUUUCUCUGGUAUCUUUCGCCCCUCUUUUGUAUAUAAAGGUCCAAAUGACCAAUAUUAGUAACAAGCUUUCCCUCUACAAAUAUCGUAUGGUUUCUGAUCUCUGGUCAUAAACUAAAUAUUUUCACAUAAACAGGAAUGACUUUUUUGCCAGUGGAUGAAGGUCACUUGUACUCAAAUUUCAAGACUUAUGAAUAUAAAUAUAUACAUGUCGAAUGAUUCCAUGAUGCAUCUUGGAA
This 627-nucleotide long non-coding RNA is filed under the name Mytilus galloprovincialis (Mediterranean mussel). The record is from RNAcentral. Lineage: Eukaryota; Metazoa; Mollusca; Bivalvia; Mytilida; Mytilidae.